Mandrillus leucophaeus (drill) is the source of this 107-nucleotide unclassified non-coding RNA. It matches the Rfam family "Y RNA". From Rfam's summary of the family: Y RNAs are components of the Ro ribonucleoprotein particle (Ro RNP), in association with Ro60 and La proteins. The Y RNAs and Ro60 and La proteins are well conserved, but the function of the Ro RNP is not known. NCBI's taxonomy places the organism in Eukaryota, Metazoa, Chordata, Mammalia, Primates, Cercopithecidae. The record is from Ensembl.
GGCUGGUCCCAAGAUAGUGGGUUAUCUCAACUGCUUGUUCAGUUACAGACUGAACUCACUGUCCUACUGUUUUCCCCCUUUUCACCACUGCACCUGACUAGUCUUUA